This 523-nucleotide long non-coding RNA is filed under the name Homo sapiens (human). RNAcentral describes it as "non-protein coding lnc-LIFR-6:1". The record is from RNAcentral. Lineage: Eukaryota; Metazoa; Chordata; Mammalia; Primates; Hominidae.
CAGUUUGUGUACUUUUUUUUUUAAGGUCAUGGAAGCUGAAGAUUGGAAAAGCAAAUAGAAGAAAAUAAAUUCUUCAGCUUGGAGAUAAGCAGGAAACCCAAAGAACAUGUUCUUAAGUAUAAGACCUCAGUAAUAAUAUUGAAUAGAAAUUCAACUAAAUGGAGCUGACAGAAGCCCAGACAGGCAACCAGGAGAUUCUUGUGGCCUGCCCCUGUUUCAUCUUCUGCCAUGAGUAAAAGCUCCCUGAGGCCUCCUGAAGCCGAGCAAAUGCUGACACUGUUUUCUGUACAGCCUGCAGAGCUAUGAACGUGUCUCUGCUGCAAGGCACCGGGCCCUUUCGCUCUGCAGAACUGCACUUGCAAGACCAUUAUCAACUCCUAAUCCCAGCUCAGAAAGGGAGCCUCUGCGACUCAUUCAUCGCCCUCCAGACUUUCUCCAGUCAAUCCUUGGCAUCCUACAGAGAUGGUCUUCCUCAGUCUUCAGUCUCUGUAACGAUACCAGCCCUUGUUUAGAGACCCAGAGU